RNAcentral lists this transfer RNA (72 nucleotides) under Candidatus Acetothermia bacterium. Its description in RNAcentral is "tRNA-Met". It matches the Rfam family "tRNA". From Rfam's summary of the family: Transfer RNA (tRNA) molecules are approximately 80 nucleotides in length. Their secondary structure includes four short double-helical elements and three loops (D, anti-codon, and T loops). Lineage: Bacteria; Candidatus Bipolaricaulota. The record is from RNAcentral.
GGGCCCGUAGCUCAGGGGUAGAGCAGCCGGCUCAUAACCGGUCGGUCGCAGGUUCGAACCCUGCCGGGCCCA